AUGAACGCUGGCGGCGUGCCUCAUCCAUGCAAGUCGAGCGAACAGACGAGGAACUUGCUCCUCUGACGUUAGCGGCGGACGGGUGAGUAACACGUGGAUAACCUACCUAUAAGACUGGGAUAACUUCGGGAAACCGGAGCUAAUACCGGAUAAUAUAUUGAACCGCAUGGUUCAAUAGUGAAAGACGGUUUUGCUGUCACUUAUAGAUGGAUCCGCGCCGCAUUAGCUAGUUGGUAAGGUAACGGCUUACCAAGGCAACGAUGCGUAGCCGACCUGAGAGGGUGAUCGGCCACACUGGAACUGAGACACGGUCCAGACUCCUACGGGAGGCAGCAGUAGGGAAUCUUCCGCAAUGGGCGAAAGCCUGACGGAGCAACGCCGCGUGAGUGAUGAAGGUCUUCGGAUCGUAAAACUCUGUUAUUAGGGAAGAACAAAUGUGUAAGUAACUAUGCACGUCUUGACGGUACCUAAUCAGAAAGCCACGGCUAACUACGUG
Molecule: ribosomal RNA, 496 nt
Filed under: uncultured bacterium
Lineage: Bacteria
Description: partial 16S ribosomal RNA
Rfam family: Bacterial small subunit ribosomal RNA
Source: RNAcentral